RNAcentral lists this long non-coding RNA (2629 nucleotides) under Homo sapiens (human). RNAcentral describes it as "HSALNT0040134". The record is from RNAcentral. Lineage: Eukaryota; Metazoa; Chordata; Mammalia; Primates; Hominidae.
UGGCUUUAUUCAGCAACUCUCUUAUACUGCUUUGUCUCAGCUGCUUGAGCCGGCUGCUCCCAUGCACAGCUGCGUGGCCAGCUCUCCCUUCAGGGUCAGCAGCUUAACCCUCUCUCUGGGCAUGAGUGUGCCUGUAUAGUGUCAGCAGGGCAAUUAUAUCUUACAGACAAUAGUGGCUUAGAACCAAGUGAUGAGCCUUCUCACGUUAUGGCUACAUGGCUGUGAUAACAAGUGGAGUUAUACACCGGGGCUCUAAACUCAGAGUCACACAGGAUGUUUACCUUGGCCUAUACCCACUUGGCCACAGCACAGCCAUGUUCCUUACAACUGGGCUUAUGUGGGACCAGAAAACAUGGACAGGAUCUCUUCCUUUGAGUAAGGUGGAGUCAGCUCAGCUGCUCACUGUCACCUGACCCAUAUGGUCAGGUUAAAGCACUGGGCUCCAUCCCCUCCUGCCUAUCCCCAAUAUCCAGUGCAUAGCCUGCCCUCAGUGAGGCCUUUCCAGCUUCCAUUAGGACAGAUGUUUGUCUCUGCUGAACCCCAUCUCUUCACCCCACAUUUGACAUUGACUGCCCUCUAGCCUCUGUCUUGGCAUCUAUUUGGUACACAUUUACCCCUCGACAUAGCCGCACCCCAAUCUUCACAGGAAAAAAACAUCUUCAUCACAUUUGCAUCUCCAACCAGUGGCUAAUGUAGUACUUAUAUAUUAAGGUAUUGAAUGAGUGGUUAAACAUCUCCUGUCCUUUCUUCCUCAAGACUGGAAGGACUUCCUGUAGAAUUCAGCCUAAAUAUUUCUUUCUCAGGGAAGCUGCCCCUGAUGAAAAUAGGAGAGUUCCCUGACCCCCCACUUGCAGGAUGUGCGAAAGGGGUGUGUUUCAUCUGUUUGGCCACAGUGUGCACUCAAACCCCUUACAGGAGUGGGAGCAUGCACACUGGCAGGUACAGGAGCCGGGAUGAGUGCUCUUGGGCUCCAGCCCCAUGGUAGCAUCUAGGAGUGGGUGCCUACGACUCCCAAAGCCCCAGCGGGCAUGCUACAGUGCUCUUUUAGUUCUGCCAUCCACAGACAGCUUAAGUGUUAACCAGCUCAGUGCCCUCUUGGUACCCAGGUUCUUGUCCAACAUCCAGGAAAACUGGGUCACACACAGACUUGAAAGAUGGUGAAUGCGGGGGUUUACUGAGUGGUGGAGAUGGCUUUCAGUGGGAUAGAUGGGGAGCUGCAAAGGGGAUGGAGCGGGAAGGUGACCUUACCCUGGAGUAUGGCCAUCCACCAGCAAAUCUCCCUUCCAACCAUCCCCAGCUGAACUCUUCUUGACGUUCAGAUGCUUCUCUUUUCUCCUUCUCUGCUCUUUUGGCACUCUUCUGCUUUUCUGUUCAUCUGUUCAUGGAGACUGGGGUUUGGAAUUUAUAUGCGUACAGGACAGGGGGCAUGGCAGGCCAAAAGUCAACUUUUGGGUGCAAAAACAGGAAUGCCUAUUCCCAUUUAGGGCCAUGGGUUUCCAGGCUUGAGGGUGGUCUUUUGCUGGGAAAGCACCCUCUUCUACCCAGUACUUCCCUGUCUCCUGUCUGUAUCAUUAUCAGACACUAUCAUACCAUUCAGUAACUUUUCUUACCAUUAUCACAGCCAUUUGUGUCAUUAUUUCCUCAUGUUUGCCUGCAUUGCCAGAUGGCAUAUUCCCUGAGGGCAACGGUGGCCUCCCUUUUGGCUCACUCUCCAUCUUUCCUGCCUAGAGAACUGUUACUCAGUAGCCAUUCUAAUGAAUUUGACUUAAGAAAAAUCUUGCUCACCUUACCAUAGAGCUGUUUCUCUUCCAGCUAUCUCUGUGUUUUUGAAGUGGUGAAGUAUGCUGGAAGUCAUGGGGUGAUCAUUCUCCCCUAAGGUAAAAGCAGACGCUCCUGCUUUGAGAAGCAACUAGUAAGAAUCUAGGUCCUUGUCCAUAUUCCUCAUCAACAAGGUCCUGAGCCACAGUCUGGGGACCCCACCUCGCUUUCAUGCCUCAGAUCCAGUUAGAAAAAUCCUUCUUGCUUUCCAAUGUUCCUUCUUCACGAGAGAGAGAUCCAUACAAACCCACAUCCUUUUUCUCCCUCUUUGUCCACUUGACCCUUUUGGCAUAAAUGUCUCAUGAUGAGAUGGGUUAUAACUCCAAACCCACAGAGAUGGUAAUGUGAGUUAUAAAUUCCUCCCAGAACUGUGCCUGAGAGGGCGGCUUCCCAAAACUGUCAGAUCUGAGGCUAGUUGAGGGAAGAUGGUGAGAGCUAGACUUCAUAGAAUAUGCAGAUUUUCCCAAAAGCCAGAAUCACUAGGGAAGAAAUGACAUCAACUUCCCAUAAACGCUUCCAGAGAUUUUUCAAAAUAAUGAGUACUUCGUAACUCAUUUUAUAAGGUCAGCAUAAUGUUGAUAUCAAAACCUUUUCAUAGUUCUGGAGGCUAGGAAGUCUGAGAUAGAGGCACUGGCAAGUUCCCUUGUCUGAUGAGAGCUGCUUUCCAAGAUGGUACCUUGAUGCUCUGUCCUCCAGAGGGGAGAAAUGCUGAGCCCCUACACGGUAGAAGGUGGAAAGGCAAGGGGGCUGAAUGCUGUAUGAAGCCUCUUUUAUAAAGGCCUUAAUUCCAUCACAAGGGAGAAGCCCUCAU